Molecule: ribosomal RNA, 492 nt
Filed under: uncultured bacterium
Lineage: Bacteria
Description: partial 16S ribosomal RNA
Rfam family: Bacterial small subunit ribosomal RNA
Source: RNAcentral
AGUGAACGCUGGCGGUAGGCCUAACACAUGCAAGUCGAACGGCAGCACAGUAAGAGCUUGCUCUUACGGGUGGCGAGUGGCGGACGGGUGAGGAAUACAUCGGAAUCUACUUUUUCGUGGGGGAUAACGUAGGGAAACUUACGCUAAUACCGCAUACGACCUACGGGUGAAAGCAGGGGAUCUUCGGACCUUGCGCGAUUGAAUGAGCCGAUGUCGGAUUAGCUAGUUGGCGGGGUAAAGGCCCACCAAGGCGACGAUCCGUAGCUGGUCUGAGAGGAUGAUCAGCCACACUGGAACUGAGACACGGUCCAGACUCCUACGGGAGGCAGCAGUGGGGAAUAUUGGACAAUGGGCGGAAGCCUGAUGCAGCCAUACCGCGUGGGUGAAGAAGGCCUUCGGGUUGUAAAGCCCUUUUGUUGGGAAAGAAAAGCAGCAGGUUAAUACCCCGCUGUUCUGACGGUACCCAAAGAAUAAGCACCGGCUAGCUUCGUG